CAAUACCCUGAUACAUUUAGCUCUUCAACAUGUGUCCACUGCACCAGAGCCAGCCCAGUGUACUUUCACUCCACAAUCACCAGCAAGUUUCAUGAGAGCCCAGGGCCUGGACCUGCAGUUUGGGUUGGGAGGGAAGGCAGACGUGGGGAGCACCAUCUAGUUUCAAAGACCCCGUGGCCCUGGGGUGAAGACGACACUCUAGCAUUGAAGCUAAUCACUGAAAGUGGCAUAAUUAAGGUUGAAGGUCUCUGCUGGCUGAAGGAAGCAGUCCUUCAUCCAGGUCGACUGAACCCAGAACCAGCGCUUCAACCUUUGACGUGAUGAGAAGACGAGACGUGUUCCCGGAAAGAAUGUCCUAUGCUUCACAU
Mugil cephalus (flathead mullet) is the source of this 368-nucleotide long non-coding RNA. RefSeq lists it as uncharacterized. The transcript has 4 exons. Lineage: Eukaryota; Metazoa; Chordata; Actinopteri; Mugiliformes; Mugilidae. The record is from RefSeq and is a predicted model, not a curated record.